This 320-nucleotide ribosomal RNA is filed under the name uncultured eukaryote. Its description in RNAcentral is "partial 18S ribosomal RNA". It matches the Rfam family "Eukaryotic small subunit ribosomal RNA", at positions 1470 to 1796 of the family's 1831-position model. The record is from RNAcentral.
CCCUUAGAUGUUCUGGGCUGCACGCGUGUUACAAUCGGGAGUACAACAAGAUUGCAAAUCCUAGUGGAUGAGUGGUUCUUCGAAAUUUUCUGAAGACUGGGAUAGUUGAUUGAAAUUAUUCAACUCGAACGAGGAAUUCCUUGUAAUUGUAAUUCAUUAUAUUGUAAUGAAUACGUCCCUGCCCUUUGUACACACUGCCCGUCGCUCCUACCGAUUGAACGAUCCGGUGAAUUAUUUGGAGUAGCCCUGGAAGUUGCAGAACUUCCUAUGUCACGAAAUUUUGUAAACCUUAUCGUUUAGAGGAAGGAAAAGUCGUAACA